UACGGGGGGGGCAAGCGUUGUUCGGAAUUACUGGGCGUAAAGGGCUCGUAGGCGGCCAACUAAGUCAGACGUGAAAUCCCUCGGCUUAACCGGGGAACUGCGUCUGAUACUGGAUGGCUUGAAUCCGGGAGAGGGAUGCGGAAUUCCAGGUGUAGCGGUGAAAUGCGUAGAUAUCUGGAGGAACACCGGUGGCGAAGGCGGCCUGCUGGGGUGGAGCUGACGCUGAGGCGCGACAGCGUGGGGAGCAAACAGG
Molecule: ribosomal RNA, 253 nt
Filed under: uncultured bacterium
Lineage: Bacteria
Description: partial 16S ribosomal RNA
Rfam family: Bacterial small subunit ribosomal RNA
Source: RNAcentral